This is a long non-coding RNA of Cyprinus carpio carpio, 2149 nucleotides long. The record is from Ensembl. Lineage: Eukaryota; Metazoa; Chordata; Actinopteri; Cypriniformes; Cyprinidae.
ACUCUAUUGUGUUCCCCUGCCUUUGGUUGUUCUGGCACGGCUUGUGAGUGCUGCAUCGAAAAUCCUCCUCAGGCGGCCAGAGGAACAUCAGGAGUGACCCGGAGGCGUCCCACAUACAGCGGCCAUAAUGAAGAGCGGGGAGCUUUGGGAGCUUUCAGCUCAGUGAGCUGUGAUGGUGGGGGAGAACUAUUCAAAGCCUUAUUGAAACAUGAAUACACUGAGAAGGGUGUCUCCUGUGAGGAGCAGGGGCCAAAUAUCAGGCUGCAGGAGCUUUUCCCCACCAUGGCUGCAUUUACUCUUGCAAUCGGAGUGUUACUGAAUCUACUGCAAGUAAAAUUGUGUUUUAGACAAAUUGGUGUCUGAGCAUCCACAUGUAUUACUUUCAAGAUCUCCAACCUACACUUCACCAACCAGAUAAACAUACACACAAACCAGCGGAAAUACCUUGCUUCUGAGUAUUGUUGACAUGAGACAUGAGAUUCCUCCCACUAGACAUCUUGAACCAAAUGAGUCAGGGGAAAAUUGAGAUGAAAGGAAAGUCAGAAACAUAACUGAGUCUGGAGGAGAAAAAAGCUUUACUCUUUAUUUGCUAGUUUAUUACAUGAAUAUUAUAAAUAAGUUUAAGACCAAGUCUGGAUUAAAACUGUGGUAAACAAACAGGAUUUUAAUGGAUGUUAUGUCCCUCCUCCAUUGAAAUCCCCAACCACGAAGCAUGCAAACAACAACCAUGUAAGAUUCGCAACAAUAUGGAAAUCAUUGGCAAUGCGGCACAACCAAAGCAUGGAAUCGACCUCUUUCAAAUCACACAGUUCCAGAAAUAUCUGAAACUUUGAACUCUUAAAAUUAAAGGUUCCAAAAAAGGAGUUUUUGCAGCAAAGCCAUAGACCCAAAAUUCUUGGAUCCCCAAAGAACCUUUCAGUGAACGGAAUUAUUUAUUUUUCUUAUAGUGUGAAGAACAUUUGCAAAAUCUAAAAAAAGUGUUUCCUAUAUAAAGAACCUUUUAUGGGAUGCAAAGGAUCAAUGGAUGAUAAAAGUUCUUCAUGGAACCAUAGAUGCCAAUAAAGAACCUUUAUUUUGAGCUGUGUAUGCUGUAUUUUGCUAAAAAUAGAGGGAUCUUCUCUGACAAAUCCAAGACAACACAAUUAGCAUUCUGUCACACAAAAAACCUCACUGGCAACCUGUGACAGACAUGAGUUCAGACAUUUUAGUCGUGACACAUUUCUUAAUGUUUGAUGGGUGAAAAAUGGCUCCCCUGAAGCAAGACUUGGUAUUUUCCAAUGACGUGUCAGCUUUCCCCCUAAAGUCCAACUUCUUAUUACUUUGCUUCUUCUUUGCCAACGUUAUUGUUUCAGCCCACUGCUUUCCCCAAGAUGAACCAGCAGCUAUUAUUCAGAGCGGUGGAAUUAAUUGGUGAAUUUCUCACAUGCUUUGAGAAAUGAAUAGAUCUACAUAAUCAAUUACACAGUGUGGGAUGCUGCCAACAAAACUUUGGAGAAAUGUCUGCUUCAUGACAAAAGAAGAACUGUGGGGAGCACAGGCAGAGAACGAAAUGAAGCCUAGCUGACAGGGUAGUAUCGGAAUUUCAUAUGAGGAAAAAAAAAUACUUUACGGGCUAGUCUGACUGUUUACACUCUUCUACAAAACUACUGCUCCUCAUUUCUGGAGGCCCAGUGUGGAAGCUGUUCAGCAUCAGCGCAACGGUUUCCUCUGGCUGCUGAUGAAACAUCAUGACUUGUAAUGUUCUGGCAGAUGGUCUGGUUUUCAUAACGUGGAUGAAUCAUACUAUGCCAAUUAGUGUUUAGAAGACUCAGAAAGUGAUAAUCAAGCUUUGUUUCGGGUGUUUUGCAUCUUAUUUUAGAUGUUAUGAUAUUGCAUGCCUACUUUGAAAUGUUAUUGGAAAUUUUACUGUCUCUCUCAUAGUGAAACUGUAAUUUAACUUAAGCUUGGUUACAAAGAAUAUAUGAUUCGCAUGCAUCUGAGAUUAAUUCUAUGAUGAAAAUCAUGUAUAAUGAGACUUGUAUAAGGAGGAUAAUUAUUGAGUCCAUUUUAUACAACUGAACUGCAAUUAUAUAUGUUCUAUAAAAGAAGGAAAUGUACUCCAGCAAUUAUUCCCUUUAACAUACACUUGCAUUGCUCAUUUUUAUUUUUA